CGGCCCGUUGGUCAAGUGGUUAAGACACCGCCCUUUCACGGCGGUAACAUGGGUUCAAAUCCCGUACGGUCAU
RNAcentral lists this transfer RNA (73 nucleotides) under Lactobacillus delbrueckii. Its description in RNAcentral is "tRNA-Glu". It matches the Rfam family "tRNA". Rfam says of the family: Transfer RNA (tRNA) molecules are approximately 80 nucleotides in length. Their secondary structure includes four short double-helical elements and three loops (D, anti-codon, and T loops). Further hydrogen bonds mediate the characteristic L-shaped molecular structure. tRNAs have two regions of fundamental functional importance: the anti-codon, which is responsible for specific mRNA codon recognition, and the 3' end, to which the tRNAs corresponding amino acid is attached (by aminoacyl-tRNA synthetases). tRNAs cope with the degeneracy of the genetic code in two manners: having more than one tRNA (with a specific anti-codon) for a particular amino acid; and 'wobble' base-pairing, i.e. permitting non-standard base-pairing at the 3rd anti-codon position. The record is from RNAcentral. Lineage: Bacteria; Bacillati; Bacillota; Bacilli; Lactobacillales; Lactobacillaceae.